Molecule: long non-coding RNA, 1149 nt
Filed under: Strigops habroptila (Kakapo)
Lineage: Eukaryota; Metazoa; Chordata; Aves; Psittaciformes; Psittacidae
Description: lncRNA (ENSSHBG00005011778.1)
Source: RNAcentral
CAGCAUCCCUGGUGCCAGGGUGGGACAGAGGAUGCAGACAGUGAGAGGUAUUUGGGCCCUGAUGGGGGUUCCCUGCUGGGAUGGGACCCAAAGAGCCCCUUCAAGCUCUGAAGUGGGGUGGCACAGCCCUUAAAGAGAUGUUGCAUGUAGCCCUCUGCCUCCGAGGCUCGAGUUGGGUUUUUGUUGUGAGGACAACAGGAACUGGCUCGUUGUUCCUCUCCUUUUUGACACCUGUGUCAAAAUCUGUUAAAUUUAAAAUCUGUUGAUUUCACUUAAGCUGGACAUUAAGUGUUUAACUGUUGGGGGGGUGGGAUGGGGGGAACAAGAGAUCAUUGGGGUUUUGUUUACUUUUUGGCAAUGUCCAAAAGCAGCCACGAUGUUUCAGGGCGAGCAGGAGUCUGGAGCUGCCCCAGCUCCAUUUCUCUGUCUUGGCUUUCUCUGCAUUUAUUUCCUGAGGUCCUUUCUGGUUUGGAGCUGUUGGUUUUGUCCACGGGCCCAUGGCUUCCUGAUGUGGGUGCCAGAUCCUGAAAAGCCGAGUGUGAAUUCCUCCUCAUCCCCAGCGGGUGUUGAUGUACCCAGCAGCCAGUCCGUGCAAGGAGGGAUGCCAAGGUGGAAGCAGUGCUGAUGGUGGGGAUGGAGAUCCGGGAUUAACUCCUCCUGGAUGAGCAGAGCUGUUAGGAAGUCCUGAAAAAUAAAGGUUGAGGGUUGGAUUGGUGGGAAUUAGAGGACAACGGGUGGUGCUGAGCUCAAGGGGUGCAGCUGGGCAGCACUGGGGCUCAUUUGGAGAAGGAUAUGAGACCAUGGGCAAGGUGGGCAUGGUGGGGAUGGCUGGGAUGGCAUGAGUUACUGAGAGGUCUGGAGUGCUGGGAUGAGGCAGAAGAUCCCAUAGAGGCAUCACACCCGGCUUUCACACAGCCCCAUUUGGGAGCACCUUGUUCAAGAGAGUUUCUUUUUUUCCUCCUUGAUGAAUUUGUUCUCUUUCCUCCUUUUCCUUUGCUUUCAAGAGAAGGAAUCUGUACAGUGCAGGGGAAAUGUUGUAUGAGAAGAGAUUCAUCAGCUGUCGGCAGUGAUCAGGAUUCCAGGAAAACACAUAUAUGGUAUCAGACAAGGAAGGCCACACCUUGGACACAGGCAAUGAGGGAACUCUAG